This 1003-nucleotide ribosomal RNA is filed under the name uncultured Actinomycetes bacterium. Its description in RNAcentral is "bacterial SSU rRNA". It matches the Rfam family "Bacterial small subunit ribosomal RNA", at positions 79 to 1093 of the family's 1533-position model. The record is from RNAcentral. Lineage: Bacteria; Bacillati; Actinomycetota; Actinomycetes.
GCUGCACGGGUGGAUGAGUGGCGAACGGGUGAGUAACACGUGAGUAACCUGCCCCUGACUUCGGGAUAAGCCCGGGAAACUGGGUCUAAUACCGGAUACGACUGCCGGACGCAUGUCUGGUGGUGGAAAGUUUUUUCGGUUGGGGAUGGGCUCGCGGCCUAUCAGUUUGUUGGUGAGGUAAUGGCUCACCAAGACGACGACGGGUAGCCGGCCUGAGAGGGCGACCGGCCACACUGGGACUGAGACACGGCCCAGGCUCCUACGGGAGGCAGCAGUGGGGAAUAUUGCACAAUGGGGGAAACCCUGAUGCAGCGACGCAGCGUGCGGGAUGACGGCCUUCGGGUUGUAAACCGCUUUCAGCAGGGAAGAAGCGCAAGUGACGGUACCUGCAGAAGAAGUACCGGCUAACUACGUGCCAGCAGCCGCGGUAAUACGUAGGGUACGAGCGUUGUCCGGAAUUAUUGGGCGUAAAGAGCUCGUAGGUGGUUGGUCACGUCUGCUGUGGAAACGCAACGCUUAACGUUGCGCGUGCAGUGGGUACGGGCUGACUAGAGUGCAGUAGGGGAGUCUGGAAUUCCUGGUGUAGCGGUGAAAUGCGCAGAUAUCAGGAGGAACACCGGUGGCGAAGGCGGGACUCUGGGCUGUAACUGACACUGAGGGGCGAAAGCAUGGGGAGCGAACAGGAUUAGAUACCCUGGUAGUCCAUGCCGUAAACGUUGGGCACUAGGUGUGGGGGGCAUUCCACGUUCUCCGCGCCGUAGCUAACGCAUUAAGUGCCCCGCCUGGGGAGUACGGUCGCAAGGCUAAAACUCAAAGGAAUUGACGGGGGCCCGCACAAGCGGCGGAGCAUGCGGAUUAAUUCGAUGCAACGCGAAGAACCUUACCAAGGCUUGACAUACACCGGACCGUCCUGGAAACAGGUCUUCUUCUUUGAAGCUGGUGUACAGGUGGUGCAUGGUUGUCGUCAGCUCGUGUCCUGAAAUGUUGGGUUAAGUCCCGCAAC